RNAcentral lists this ribosomal RNA (468 nucleotides) under uncultured bacterium. RNAcentral's name for it is "partial 16S ribosomal RNA". It matches the Rfam family "Bacterial small subunit ribosomal RNA", at positions 28 to 507 of the family's 1533-position model. The record is from RNAcentral.
GACGAACGCUGGCGGCGUGCUUAACACAUGCAAGUCGAGCGGAAAGGCCCUGCUUUUGUGGGGUGCUCGAGUGGCGAACGGGUGAGUAACACGUGAGUAACCUGCCCUUGACUUUGGGAUAACUUCAGGAAACUGGGGCUAAUACCGGAUAGGAGCUCCUGCUGCAUGGUGGGGGUUGGAAAGUUUCGGCGGUUGGGGAUGGACUCGCGGCUUAUCAGCUUGUUGGUGGGGUAGUGGCUUACCAAGGCUUUGAGGGGUAGCCGGCCUGAGAGGGUGACCGGCCACAUUGGGACUGAGAUACGGCCCAGACUCCUACGGGAGGCAGCAGUGGGGAAUAUUGCACAAUGGGCGGAAGCCUGAUGCAGCAACGCCGCGUGCGGGAUGACGGCCUUCGGGUUGUAAACCGCUUUCGCCUGUGACGAAGCGUGAGUGACGGUAAUGGGUAAAGAAGCACCGGCUAACUACGUG